This 200-nucleotide non-coding RNA is filed under the name Acidobacteriota bacterium. Its description in RNAcentral is "Acidobacteria bacterium (rhizosphere metagenome) 6S RNA". It matches the Rfam family "6S / SsrS RNA". From Rfam's summary of the family: E. coli 6S RNA was the first non coding RNA to be sequenced, but its function was unknown until recently. Lineage: Bacteria; Pseudomonadati; Acidobacteriota. The record is from RNAcentral.
GAGGCCCUGCAGAGUUCGUGAUGCACGAUCUAGCACUUGAACCGUACUUCUUAUCUCGGGUAGCUCGCGUCUCGGGUCGCGUGCACGCCUUCGUCCCGCAGUGGGACCUCAGAAGGUAGCCAAAACGGCACGAGUAGGGCGCCCACCUGUCAUGUACAGGUUCAGGUAAGAAUCCUCCACACGGCUCAGGCGGGGUACUC